Mandrillus leucophaeus (drill) is the source of this 1498-nucleotide RNA transcript. It is a transcript of the gene named mortality factor 4-like protein 1 pseudogene, with no coding region annotated. Lineage: Eukaryota; Metazoa; Chordata; Mammalia; Primates; Cercopithecidae. The record is from RefSeq and is a predicted model, not a curated record. The transcript is spliced from 2 exons.
AUGGUAGAAGCCAUCCUGUCCGCAACAGCCUGCUUCUCGGGGUAUAACAGCAUCUUCUGCCUUGAUGUUAACCACAGCCAUUACCACUGGCAAUAUGAAAGAGGGAGAAACUCUUGGGUUUUCCCUGCCCAAGAAACAAAUGCUGCUGUGUGCCUUCAAGGCUACAGCCACCAUCCCCCCUCUUGGAAAUUCCAGGAGGGUGAGCGAGUGCUGUGCUUUCAUGGGCCUCUUCUUUAUGAAGCAAAGUGUGUAAAGGUUGCCAUAAAGGACAGGCAAGUGAAAUACUUUUUACAUUACAGUGGUUGGAAUAAAAAUUGGGAUAAGUGGGUUCCAGAGAGCAGAGUACUCAAAUACGUGGACACCAAUUUGCAGAAACAGUGAGAACUUCAAAAAGCCAGUCAGGAGCAGUAUGCAGAGGGGAAUAUGAGAGGGGCUGCCCCAGGAAAGAAGACAUCUGGUCUGCAACAGAAAAAUGUUGAAGUGAAAACAAAAAAGAACAAACAGAAAACACCUGGAAAUGGAGAUGGUGGCAGUACCAGUGAGACCCCUCAGCCUCCUCGGAAGGAAAGGACCCAGGUAGAUCCUACUGUUGAAAAUGAGAAAACAUUCAUGAACAGAGUUGAAGUUAAAGUAAAGAUUCCUGAAGAGCUAAAACUAUGGCUUGUUGAUGACUGGGACUUAAUUACCAGGCAAAAACACCUCUUUUAUCUUCCUGCCAAGAAGAAUGUGGAUUCCAUUCUUGAGGAUUAUGCAAAUUACAAGAAAUCUCGUGGAAACACAGAUAAUAAGGAGUAUGCAGUUAAUGAAGUUGUGGCAGGGAUAAAAGAAUACUUCAACGUAAUGUUGGGCACCCAGCUACUCUACAAAUUUGAGACACCACAGUAUGCCGAAAUUCUUGCAGAUCAUCCCGAUGCACCCAUGUCCCAGGUGUAUGAAGCACCACAUCUCCUCAGAUUAUUUGUACGAAUUAGAGCAAUGUUGGCCUAUACACCUCUGGAUGAGAAGAGCCUUGCUUUAUUACUCAAUUAUCUUCACGAUUUCCUAAAGUACCUGGCAAAGAAUUCUGCAACUUGGCUUAGUGCCAGCGAUUAUGAAGUGGCUCCUCCUGAGUACCAUCGGAAAGCUGUGUGAGAGGCACUCUCACUCACUCAUGUUUGGAUCUCCGUAAACACAUUUUUGUUCUUAGUCUAUCUCUGGUACAAAUGAUGGGCUUUGAAGAUGUUAGUGUAUAACAAUUGAUGUUUGUUUUCUGUUUGAUUUUUAAACACAGAAAAUAAAAGGGGCAAUAGGUCCUUUUUUCUUUUCUUUUCUUUUUUUUUUCAUUUCAAAUUUGCUGCCAGUGUUUUCAAUGAUGGGCAACAGAGGGAUAUGCUGUAGAGUGUUUUAUUACCUAGUUGACAAAGCUGCUUUUGAAUGCUGGUGGUUCUAUUCCUUUGACACUACGUACUUUUAUAAUACGUGUUAAUGCUAUAUGACAAAAUGCUCUGAUUCCUAGUGC